Molecule: long non-coding RNA, 3000 nt
Organism: Homo sapiens (human)
Lineage: Eukaryota; Metazoa; Chordata; Mammalia; Primates; Hominidae
Exons: 3
Source: RefSeq, a predicted model, not a curated record
CGAACUCCUGACCUCAGGUAAUCCACCCGCCUUGGCCUCCCAAAGUGCUGGGAUUACAGGCGUGAGUCGCCGAGCCCGGCCAGUCGAACUCUUUCUUCUGAGGAGGUAAGGAUUGAGAUUGCUGCAGAACAUAGGGAUUCGUGGUCAGUAAUAUACCAUGUGUCUGAGGUAGGUUCUCAGCUUGGGCAGAGAAGAGGGGUGUCAUUUGGGGACUCCAUCCGCAGCUGGGAUGGCACGAGGCUUACCAGGGGGUGUAACGGCCACUCUGCAACCCUCCCUAUCUCUGUCCCCAUGCCCAUGACCCUGCACCAUCCAUGUUCUGAAGGCAGGGCCAGCUCAGCGCCCACCAGCACCGAGCUGCUACUGAGCCGCCCUCUCUCCUAGAAGGAAAAUGGAUUCAGCUAGUGGCUCCCCACCAGACUGGCACCCUCGCGACUCAUCCCCGCCAUUGGUAAAGGAAUGACCGGGCCUCAGGGGCAUGGUGCUGCCACCUGGACGUCAGACAGAAUCGGAGUUGGAGGCUGGUUGGGAGAAAGCAGAACCCUCUCCAGCUUGCCCUGGAGUGUGAGGUGCCCGCGGUGCACCGAUAGGUCAACACCCCAUGCAGGCACGAAGGAGAUGGCAGCCACCAGGCUCGGUUGAAAUAUUCAUUUCAAGGGAAUUCCUUGUCCAUUCAAAUGACUGAACAACAGCUUGAUUUCAUGGAAUAAUGGCUUUUAUUAAGAAGCCAACAGGAAUGAUCACAGUGGGGAGUCUUGUGUCUUGGCAGUGGGUGUUUGUAGAGCACCCAGUGUUCACCAGCAACUCUGUGCAAGUCUCGGAGGGUGGUUGGUGUGUUGGAGGAUGUGGGUAUACAGUAGCAUGGGCAUGCAUGUGCAUACGUGUUCAUACAUGCACCUGCAGCGGGAACUUGGUGAAUACUUGUUGGUUGGUGUGUUUUUUUGUUUUUUUUUUUUUUUGAGAUGGAGUUUUGCUCUUGUUGCCCAGGCUGGAGUGCAAUGGCGCCAUCUUGGCUCACUGCAACCUGUCUUCCCAGUUCAAGCAAUUCUCCUGCUUCGGCCUCCCAAGUAGCUGGGAUUACAGGUGUGUGCCACUACACCUGGAUAAAUUUUUUUUUUCUUUUUUUUUUGUGGAGACAGGCUUUCACCAUGUUGGAUCAGGCUGGUCUCAAACUCCUGACCUCAAGUGAUGCGCCUGCCUCGGCCUCCCCAACUGUUGGGAUUACAGGCAUGAGCCACUGUGCCUGGCUACUCGGUGGGUUUUGAUUGGAAGGCUAUGGAGCUCCAGUGGUAGAUGUGGUUAUAAGGGUAACUGGGGGGGGGGGUCUCAGAGUGGGGGCCAGUUGCAUCAGGCCCCUGGAGGGUGGGACACUGCCUUUCCAAGAGCAACAAAGUGUGGGCGAUUUGUGGUGCUGAGAAUCGUGAGCAGGCAGUUCGUCUAGAGCAGGGUUGCAAACUUUUUCUGUAAAAGGCCAGAUAGUAAAUAUGUUAGGCUUUGUGGGCCUUGUAGUCUCUGUUGCAACUACUCAGCUCUGCCCUGAUGAGGCAAAAGCAGCCACAGGCAAUGUACAAAAUGUCCGUGGCUGUGUUCCAAGAAAACUUUAUUGGCAAAAACAGGCAGUGGGCCAGAUCUAAGCCAUGGGCCGUAGUUUGCCAACCCCUGGUCUAGACCACUCCCAUUUAUAAAGUGAUUCGGCUUUAGCAGCUUCCUGGAAGGUGGUGCUGCUGGCUGAUAAAGCAGAGGGACGGAGCUUGCAGAAUUCAGGUGAUAGGGCUUGGAUCUCAGUCCCCAGCGCAUCUCAUGUUGAAUUGGAACCCUCAAGGUUGGAGGUGGGGACUGGUGGGAGGUGAUUGGAUCAUGAGAGCAGAUACCUCAUGGGUUGGUGCUGUCCUCUAGACAGUGAGUGAGUUCUUACCAGAUCUGGUUUAAAAGCAUGUGGCACCUCUGCCCCACACUCUCUCUUGCUCCUGUUUUUGCCAUGUGAUGCGCCUCCUUCCUUUUUGCCGUCUGCCAUGAUUGGAAGCCUCCUGAGGCUUCCCCAGAAGUUGAACAGGUGCUAGUGGCAUGCUUGUAUAGCUUGCAGAACCAUAAGCCAGUUAAACCUCUUUUCUUAUAAAUGACCGCAUCUCAGGUAUUUCUUCAUAGCAAUGCAAGAACGGCCAAACACAAAGUUUGCUGAGCAGAGACACACGGCCAGAAAGUUAAGUGGGGGUCUCAAGCCCGACUGUGGGACAGUCAGUCCAUCUUCAGAGCUGUCCUCCCUACGCCCCUGUCCUCCCCCUGGGCCGGGAUGCAGCGCUGCCCCUGGCCCCUCUGGAGCUCAGCAGGGAGCCCCAUGCCCUUCCAGGUGUGGAGAGCAGCCUGCGCGUCACUCGCUGCCGCCCCAUCCUACGGGGCACUGGAGCACAACUGUGUCGUCCUCCGCUACCUCAUGGGCUUCCUGCACACGCAAGAGCUGGGGAGACCGCAGCGUGGGACUUGCGGGUAAUCUCCCGCAGAGGCCUGUCACUCCUCCCCCACUGCCAGGUCUAGGUGGGCGCAGGACUCAGGCUUAAGCCAGUCGGAGCCUUCCCUGGCUGCAGCAAUGGGUCCAAGGGCCCUCCCACUGUGACCCUGGCCUCGGCCACCAGGCUUGCUUUGGCCAAUGGGAUGUGAGCAUGCAGGACACCAGUCAAAGCAUGAAAACUGCUUGCAGUAGCGCUUGUGUGUGCGCCUGGACCUGUGUUGUAAGAAUGUGCCCCUUUUAGCCGUUGGAGGAUUUGGGACACCUGCAGGAGAACAGAGUCACCCUGGCUGACAGCCAGCUCAGCCAGGACAUGUAAGCCAUCCCCUCAAAAGACCAAUAGAACCACCCAGCUGACCCACUGACUCAUGGGCAGUAAUGACCAGCAGUUGCUUUCAGUGACUGGGCUUGGGCAUCCCCCUGGCCCCACUGCCCCCCUGCCUGGCUAAUUUUCAUAUUUUGAGUAGACAAGUAAACACAAGGUUUCACCAUGUUGG